RNAcentral lists this ribosomal RNA (1346 nucleotides) under uncultured bacterium. RNAcentral describes it as "partial 16S ribosomal RNA". It matches the Rfam family "Bacterial small subunit ribosomal RNA", at positions 28 to 1381 of the family's 1533-position model. The record is from RNAcentral.
GACGAACGCUGGCGGCGUGCUUAACACAUGCAAGUCGAACGGGAAGGCCCUGCUUUUGUGGGGUGCUCGAGUGGCGAACGGGUGAGUAACACGUGAGUAACCUGCCCUUGACUUUGGGAUAACUUCAGGAAACUGGGGCUAAUACCGGAUAGGAGCUCCUGCUGCAUGGUGGGGGUUGGAAAGUUUCGGCGGUUGGGGAUGGACUCGCGGCUUAUCAGCUUGUUGGUGGGGUAGUGGCUUACCAAGGCUUUGACGGGUAGCCGGCCUGAGAGGGUGACCGGCCACAUUGGGACUGAGAUACGGCCCAGACUCCUACGGGAGGCAGCAGUGGGGAAUAUUGCACAAUGGGCGGAAGCCUGAUGCAGCAACGCCGCGUGCGGGAUGACGGCCUUCGGGUUGUAAACCGCUUUCGCCUGUGACGAAGCGUGAGUGACGGUAAUGGGUAAAGAAGCACCGGCUAACUACGUGCCAGCAGCCGCGGUGAUACGUAGGGUGCGAGCGUUGUCCGGAUUUAUUGGGCGUAAAGGGCUCGUAGGUGGUUGAUCGCGUCGGAAGUGUAAUCUUGGGGCUUAACCCUGAGCGUGCUUUCGAUACGGGUUGACUUGAGGAAGGUAGGGGAGAAUGGAAUUCCUGGUGGAGCGGUGGAAUGCGCAGAUAUCAGGAGGAACACCAGUGGCGAAGGCGGUUCUCUGGGCCUUUCCUGACGCUGAGGAGCGAAAGCGUGGGGAGCGAACAGGCUUAGAUACCCUGGUAGUCCACGCUGUAAACGGUGGGUACUAGGUGUGGGGUCCAUUCCACGGGUUCCGUGCCGUAGCUAGCGCUUUAAGUACCCCGCCUGGGGAGUACGGCCGCAAGGCUAAAACUCAAAGGAAUUGACGGGGCCCCGCACAAGCGGCGGAGCAUGCGGAUUAAUUCGAUGCAACGCGUAGAACCUUACCUGGGUUUGACAUGGAUCGGGAGUGCUCAGAGAUGGGUGUGCCUCUUUUGGGGUCGGUUCACAGGUGGUGCAUGCCUGUCGUCAGCUCGUGUCGUGAGAUGUUGGGUUAAGUCCCGCAACGAGCGCAACCCUUGUUCACUGUUGCCAGCACGUUAUGGUGGGGACUCAGUGGAGACCGCCGGGGUCAACUCGGAGGAAGGUGGGGAUGACGUCAAGUCAUCAUGCCCCUUAUGUCCAGGGCUUCACGCAUGCUACAAUGGCUGGUACAGAGAGUGGCGAGCCUGUGAGGGUGAGCGAAUCUCGGAAAGCCGGUCUCAGUUCGGAUUGGGGUCUGCAACUCGACCUCAUGAAGUCGGAGUCGCUAGUAAUCGCAGAUCAGCAACGCUGCGGUGAAUACGUUCCCGGGGCU